UGGGGAAUAUUGGACAAUGGGCGAAAGCCUGAUCCAGCCAUGCCGCGUGUGUGAAGAAGGUCUUCGGAUUGUAAAGCACUUUAAGUUGGGAGGAAGGGCAGUAAGCGACUACCUUGCUGUUUUGACGUUACCGACAGAAUAAGCACCGGCUAACUCUGUGCCAGCAGCCGCGGUAAUACAGAGGGUGCAAGCGUUAAUCGGAAUUACUGGGCGUAAAGCGCGCGUAGGUGGUUCGUUAAGUUGAAUGUGAAAGCCCCGGGCUCAACCUGGGAACUGCAUCCAAAACUGGCGGGCUAGAGUAGGGCAGAGGGUGGUGGAAUUGCCUGUGUAGCGGUGAAAUGCGUAGAUAUAGGAAGGAACACCAGUGGCGAAGGCGACCACCUGGGGUCAUACUGACACUGAGGUGCGAAAGCGUGGGGAGCAAACAGG
This 429-nucleotide ribosomal RNA is filed under the name Pseudomonadota bacterium. Its description in RNAcentral is "Proteobacteria bacterium partial 16S ribosomal RNA". It matches the Rfam family "Bacterial small subunit ribosomal RNA", at positions 355 to 776 of the family's 1533-position model. The record is from RNAcentral. Lineage: Bacteria; Pseudomonadati; Pseudomonadota.